Prosopis cineraria is the source of this 806-nucleotide long non-coding RNA. RefSeq lists it as uncharacterized. Lineage: Eukaryota; Viridiplantae; Streptophyta; Magnoliopsida; Fabales; Fabaceae. The record is from RefSeq and is a predicted model, not a curated record. The transcript is spliced from 2 exons.
CUUCGAUCCCGUUCUGAGUUGCAGAGAGAGAGAGAGAGAGAGAGGCAGAGAACAACACCUAAAACCCUAGCCCUUCCUCCAUUGAUCUCUGUCUUCUUCCUCCUCCAUUGCGGGCAAACGCCGGCAACCGUGACUUCUUUCUUCCUCCUUGUUCUAGCUGGCGCCCGGAUCGUGUGAGAGCAAGAGAAAUUUGUUGCUCAGAAGCUUCAAACUCUCGACCCAACCACCUCCGUCCUCCGCCAUUCAUCACACUGUCGACGGGAGCUGGAGCUUCGCUCGCUGCUGAGAUCCAUCCGCUCUCCCCUACUCCGUUCUUCCUCCUUGCAAAGCUCACUUCUGCUGUGACGUGUUGAGGUGCAGAUCCCGAGUCUUUCCCUCCCCUAUGCAGUCGUGAGCUUUGUCUUCUUCUUUUCUCCGUGCUCGCUGUGAACUACCAUUGUUGAGCUUGGGAGUCGGACGUUUCCCUCCUCCUGUUUCUCUGCCCUGUCUUUGCUGUUUGAUUUAUAUUUUGGCUGAUGCUGAUUCUCCUGCUGAUUCCUAAGGGGCUUUUAGAUGUGCUGGGUGAAGAUUUGAUUGAAAUUCUUUUCUUUUGACGUAAAUAUGAAUACUUAUGUAUUUUAUCUUUGAAAGUAUGGUUAGGUGCUCCAUAUAAGUUAUAAUUAGGAUCCUUAUUUUAUUAUAAACUUAGUUGCUGGUUAGAAGGAGUUGAGCUUCUAGUUGAUUUGAUCUUGUGUGAAUUUUGCAAUUUGGAUUAUUGCUUGGUUGAUGCUUGAGGAAAAUAGAUGUGGAUUUGAAUUUUUCUUGAA